This is a long non-coding RNA of Pogoniulus pusillus (Red-fronted tinkerbird), 1609 nucleotides long. RefSeq lists it as uncharacterized. NCBI's taxonomy places the organism in Eukaryota, Metazoa, Chordata, Aves, Piciformes, Lybiidae. The record is from RefSeq and is a predicted model, not a curated record. The transcript is spliced from 4 exons.
GUUCCUGCAGAGGCCUAGCAGCACCUCGCGAGCCUGUCAUGAGGGGAUUUGUGGUUGCCGAAGUAUUCACCUGUGGACAGCUGUCUGCUCUAGAAGUUAUUGCAGUGUUGGAAUGCUGCACCAGGACUGAUUCCUGCUUUUCCAGCGUGUCAAUGCAUCAACAGAGAUGCAGAGGAAAGAUACAGAACUCACUCAACUGGACCUGACUCCCCUCUCAUCUUGUGUCAGAUGACAUAAAAUCAGGAACAUCUCUGCUGAAGGCAAGUCAGUUACGCCGUGUGGAAGAGGUGAAGGGUUUGAGGACAAACUAGAAAGCCAAUGUGUCUAAGUGGACCCAUGCUGCAAUUUGAAAUCCAUUAAAGGACAAUAAAACAGGGGAAUACGCAUCUGGAAAAUCAUGGGAGAAGUUCAAGAGGACUUUGAGCAUGGACGAGGUGGAGAUGAGACUGCAUUAUGAGAUGCAGCUGAGUACCAACGGGCAAAGCAAGGCUCUGUGGCAGCACUUCUCAGCUGCUAUUAAUCAGAAAUAUUUUUGCUGCGUGCCAGGGUAUACAGAAAUGCUUGCUAAUUCUAAUGACUUGUUACAUGAUGCUUCAUAUGUGAUUCUUGAAUAACUUGUGUAGUCCAGUGUUGAGUUUCACUUCCAGUUUGCUCUCGAUAUUUUCUGCUGGGGCAAAGCUGAGUAUUUAGGUUGAAUUAUGGAUAAAAUGUUGCUAGCCAGUUCAUUUCUAGUUCACUGUAGGAAACCUGAGAAGUCAUCAAAUUUGUAUUUCUUGGUAGGAAGACAUUAUUUUCAGACAGAUUUACUUUUAAUGUUACUGAAAAAACUUGGAUCCAUGUGUCACUGGGUGGAUGGAAGGAAUAUCUAUUGAUGCAUGGAUCACAACGAUUUGCAUUUCAUAACAUUAUCAACAACAGACAUAUGACUAUAAUAAAGCAGUACUCUUUAACCCAGUCUGUAAAAAUACAUUGAUUUUAUGGCUCCCCAAACCGAUUAUAUUAAUAUCUGUGCAUAAUUAGUUUACACAUUACUAAAUUACUGACAGAUUAAAAGUGAAAUAGUGCAGUUCAUACAUGGCUGCAUAACUGCCAGAAAGGAAAUUAAUAUGGAUUCAAAUAGUCCUUGGAGACCUGUGCUGAAAUAGCAGAAAUCUAUAAAGACUGCUUGCGUUAGGAAAUUUCCAUCACUAACAUGUUUGUGGUUGAUGCUUUACUAAGUCUGUUAAUAUGGGUAAAAUUUAGUACAGGAAAUGAUAUUUGAAUGAUGCUUUUACUGUUACUAGCUCAAGAAUGUGUUUAUUAAAAGUAAAUUCUUGACUUGAAUGGCAAUUACAUUGGAUGUGAAUAUGAAUUUUUAAAUACUUUUUAAAGUGUUCCUAAUGAAGCAGUAGUAAUGUGAAGGAGCAACUACUAAGGAUGCAUUUGAAAAUCAUAUUUUUAGACAUAUUAAAAACAAGCUUCUUUAUACUUCUCCCUUACCCUGAAAGCACAUUAGAGAUAACCCUGUAUCAAAAUUUAAUCUGUUGAUAUAGCUUCAAAUGCUUUCAGACAAUAUUCUGUCUUUGGGAGAGUUUUUACAUAAACUGCAUUAAACCAACUUUAUGUUUUA